UGGGGAAUAUUGCACAAUGGGCGAAAGCCUGAUGCAGCAACGCCGCGUGAGUGAUGAAGGCCUUCGGGUUGUAAAGCUCUGUCUUUUGGGACGAUAAUGACGGUACCAAAGGAGAAAGCCACGGCUAACUACGUGCCAGCAGCCGCGGUAAUACGUAGGUGGCAAGCGUUGUCCGGAUUUACUGGGCGUAAAGGAUGCGUAGGCGGAUUUUUAAGUGAGAUGUGAAAACCCUAAGCUUAACUUGGGGACUGCAUUUCAUACUGGAAAUCUAGAGUGCGGGAGAGGAGAAUGGAAUUCCUAGUGUAGCGGUGAAAUGCGUAGAGAUUAGGAAGAACACCAGUGGCGAAGGCGAUUCUCUGGACCGUAACUGACGCUGAGGCAUGAAAGCGUGGGUAGCAAACAGGAUUAGAUACCCUGGUAGUCCACGCCGUAAACGAUGAGUACUAGGUGUAGGAGGUAUCGACCCCUUCUGUGCCGCAGUUAACACAAUAAGUACUCCGCCUGGGAAGUACGAUCGCAAGAUUAAAACUCAAAUGAAUUGACGGGGUCAUAGCUGUUUUCCU
This 563-nucleotide ribosomal RNA is filed under the name uncultured bacterium. RNAcentral describes it as "partial 16S ribosomal RNA". It matches the Rfam family "Bacterial small subunit ribosomal RNA", at positions 355 to 1375 of the family's 1533-position model. The record is from RNAcentral.